CCACGAAAGCCUUCCAGAUUAAUCUAUUUUCCCUUUGAAACCAAACUUCCCUCAAUCUUUCACCAUUCAGAUCUCUUCCAAGGGAAAAUGGGUCGUUCAAGCCGCACGCUCUAUGUGGGCAAUCUGCCUGGUGACACUCGUCUCAGAGAAGUCGAAGAUUUAUUUUACAAGUAUGGGCCCAUUGUUGAUAUUGACUUGAAGAUCCCACCAAGUCCCCCCUGGAUAUGCUUUUAUUGAGUUUGAGGACCCUCGUGAUAUUGAAGAUGCAAUUCGCGGUCGAGAUGGGUACGACUUUGAUGGCUACUAUUUACGGGUUGAACUUGCUCAUGGUGAGC
This is a long non-coding RNA of Hibiscus syriacus, 335 nucleotides long. RefSeq lists it as uncharacterized. The transcript is spliced from 5 exons. Lineage: Eukaryota; Viridiplantae; Streptophyta; Magnoliopsida; Malvales; Malvaceae. The record is from RefSeq and is a predicted model, not a curated record.